GAUUCUGUUUUUAUUCAGGUAUAGUGAGGCUAACAGAUCAGGAGAUGAUUGCUGUUGAAAAGAUAAUUUGUGCGGGGCACAGUGACUCAUGCCUGUAAUCCCAGCACUUUGGGAGGCCGGGGUGGGCAGAUCAUGAGGCCAGGAGCCUCCUGGACCAUCACAGACGCUUUGGAUAACUCUUACAGUGGAAGAAGAUAGGAGUGUCAGGCCUCUGAGCCCAAGCUAAGCCAUCAUAUCCCCUGUGACCUGCACAUAUACAUCCAGAUGGCCUGAAGCAACUGAAGAUCCACAAAAUAAGUGAAAAUAGCCAGUUCCUGCCUUAACUGGUGACAUUCCACCAUUGUGAUUUGUUCCUGCCCCACCCUAACUGAUCAAUUAACUUUGUGACAAUACACCUUCCCCACCCUUGCAAUAAUGUACUUUGUGAUAUUCCCCUGCCCUUGUGAAGGUACUUUGUAGGAUACACCCUCCCCACCCUUAAGAAGGUACUUUGUAAUAUUCUCCCCGCCCUUGAGAAUGUACUUUGUAAGAUCCAAC
This 537-nucleotide long non-coding RNA is filed under the name Homo sapiens (human). Its description in RNAcentral is "HSALNT0359639". Lineage: Eukaryota; Metazoa; Chordata; Mammalia; Primates; Hominidae. The record is from RNAcentral.